Otolemur garnettii (small-eared galago) is the source of this 107-nucleotide small nuclear RNA. NCBI's taxonomy places the organism in Eukaryota, Metazoa, Chordata, Mammalia, Primates, Galagidae. The record is from Ensembl.
AUGCUCUCUUUGGCAGCACAUAUGCUAAAAUUAGAAGGAUACAGAGAACAUUAGCAUUGCCACUACACAAGGGUAGCAUGCAAAUUUGUGAAAGUAAAAAAGAACUA